AUGAAAAGAGAGACAAAAAAAAACACAAGUGCAUUAGUAAAAGAUAUCUGGUGAAGCAAAGCAGUAUAAAGAUUGGGUAUAAUGAAUAAAAACAAUUCGUUUUGUUUGCUGUCGCCUUUUGAGCGAUGUACUUGGUGUAUCAAAGGGAUUUUAAAUAUCGUUCAAUCAAAUACCAACUAAUCCGCCCACAAAUAAACAAUUCAAUUUCCUUUGCUUUCCUUUUUCUUUUUUCCUUUUUUUUUUGCGUCCUCAACCUGCAGCAUGCCUCGACUACUUGUUGUUGUAGCUGCUGCUUGUCGCCAAUUCAACAAAUUAUCAAUCUUCCUUACAACUAAAUACGCAUACAAAACUGUUUAUCCUGUCGGCUACAAUGGAAAUCGUCUAUACUCAACUAAUGCCGUUACAUUUCGUCUUUCUAUCAUGUACAUGUGUAUUUGUGUGUGUGAAUGCUUUUCAUUUAUAUCUUAAUGCGACAUCUAAAUCCUUUUUUUUAUAUACUUAAUCGCGCUUAAAUAUGCUGUUGACAACUUGUUUGCUUAACAAAUACAAACCACUAACCAUCAUCGCAUACAUACAUACAAACACAUACAAGCUUUUCCUAUUAGAAAGCCCCCACCACCUGCUAGAGCUUUUCAUUCAGUUCAUCAAUUCACUUUCGCUUUCACUUAAACAUUUGUUGAUUUUAGUUUUAUUGAUUGUUUUCCGUACAACUGUGUAUAUGUAUGUGCAUAUAUUCAUAUAUACAUAUUUAUAGACCCUGUAGGACUAUUUAUACGCCUAGUGAUAUACGAAAAGUCAUGAGUCAUGGCUAAUGGAAUGACAGACUUUCGUUGAUCAAGUAUUAUCCAUCAAAUCUACGUACUUAUACUGAAAAUUAUAUUUUAGCAACGUCAUAUACCCGCAAUGAUCUCAGAGAAAACUAAAAAAUAUGCACGAUAAAGCGUUAGCUUUGAGAUGAAAAAAUCUUUAUCUUGAAAAGAUUUUUAUCUUGAUUUUGGUCGGCCAGUUUGUUAAAUGCUAUAGUUAGGUUAUGUUCGGUUAGGUUAGAUGGAUGAUCCAAGAUUGCACGUGGAUUGAUAUAUGUUGUUUUGUAGCCAUAGAAAAGAAGAACUCCUGUGUUCGAACUUCUAAAUCAGCAAAACGCUUAGUAGUUUAAUUUCUACUCCCGCCAGUUCGGUGGAAUGUCUGAAGGUAUGCGUUCCCAAGUGGUUUAGUCUUGGCCCCCCAAACGCGGUACUAUCAAGAAGGAAGUGUUCAGUUGUUUCCUCACCUCAUCUUCUUCCAUACUUUUUCUGGAAUUGAUAGAGAGCUCCUGAUAGUAGACCCCUCCAAUAACUUUCUCCCCAGUUUUGGCCCAUCCGUAAAGAAGCUCACUGUCCAUCUACUCCAACGGCUAUAGUUUCCUCCGCGAUAAAUGGCGGCUCCUUCAAAGUUCGGUUUAGCGACUUCAUGAUCUAAGUGAUUCGGUAUGAAGUCGAAGUGUGUGUCUCAGGUACGUAUUCUUUUAAGAAAAUCAAUCGUAAGCAAAAUGGAUUUGAGUUCCAUGGUUGGAGUGGAUCUUAGUGCGCCACACAUGCUGAUGAGCGUCGCCGUUGAACGCUCUCGAGUUUUCUCAAGUGUGGACUUUUCUAGAGCCCUCUAUCACAUAAACACUCCAUAGAACAAAAUGAGCUUGACUAAGGUGUCAUAGAGCCAGAAGACCACUUUCGUUGAACGACCCUGCCUUUUACUAAUGGCUCCUCUACAGCAUUAUAAGGCAAUCGAUGCCUUAUUUACUCUGUCUUCUCUGAUGUCCUCAGUAUAUAGAUCGCACAAAACAGAAAACCUUUGAGGAUGUAACGGCGUUAAACAAAUUAUCUGCGAAAAAAGUAUUACCGCAUUGAAAACCAUGCAUCUAAGAAACACGCUUUAUUACAUCCAUAUAAUAAAGUAUGGAGUGGAUGGGUCCAAGUCUCUGAAGUUUGUUGUUGUAAUGAAAGUUUUGGGCCCUAACAUACCAAAAUUAUUACAAUAGAAAAAGAAAAAAAAAACUGUUUUUACAAUGGAAGCAUCGAUUCCAAUGGGGCACAUGAGUCUGUAUAUGUGCACAUACAUAUAUGCCGAUAUGUCAAAGCUUCUUAUAAGAAGGUUUGUUUAUGCAUUUAUCGGCACAGUGUUGGCAAAAAUGUCACAAAUCCUUUUAACAUAUCCUUUUCUCUCAACAUAUACAGACAUGUAUAUAUUUAUACUCAUUGGUUUUGCUAUUGACGACCAUUUAUUCGCUGUUGACACGCACAAUCUAAGCAUGAACAUAUGUACAUACAUAAGUGUAUAGGAAUACGUCGGACAUUUGUAUAUACUUUUAAGCCUUAAAUUCAGAACGCUUAAACGACAGAUGCUGUUUGCUUUUGCUUUCGAUGAGUAUUUUAUGCUCCCAGUUUUUUCAAUUGCCUACUUAUUUGUUUGUAUUUAUUGUGAGUGAAAGUCAUCCAUCACCGUUUAUUUUCUAUAACAAAUCAAUGAGUGUGUGUGGGCAAAUAUUGUUUCAUAAAUAAAAACAAAGUGAUUAGAAAAAUGUUCUGGCCUUGCGAUGAGUAACAAAUUCGUAAAUAAAUAAAAAAUGUGACGAUUUAAUGAAAAUCUAUAAAAAUUAUGACGUAAGAGAUCUAAUUUACACAAAUAUAUACUUACAUCUACGGGAAAUAUGUUGCGAAUUUGCUUAAACGGCAAAGUCGGUAUCUUUUUUCAUCGCAAAAUAUUCUCUAUUUGAAGUGUAUUUUCUUUGCCACUUACAAGAUAAUGAGUCUAUUACAUAUAUAUUAGAGAUUGAUAAUUAUUGUCUAAAAUCAACCAAAACUGAGACUUGAUAUGUUUUAGUAUGAUUAAAAGACUCCGUGCUUCGAAAAAGUUACCACAAACACUGUUUUUGUAUUAGAUAAUGAAGACUAACGGUAGCCAAAGCUGAAGGUUAUGAACACUUAUAAAUUGGAUCGAAAUCAUUAUUUAAUUUUUAAAACAUCAAAACAUCAAAGGUGAUUUAGCGUUCGUUUCAAAGAGUUCUUUCGUUCUCCGUGUUUUCAGCUGACACUGAAAGAAAACUUUGUGAACACAAAUCAUUAUGUUGAACCAAUCAUUUAGUAUUCACAUCCGCCAUUAAUCACCCUUUAUUUGUACUUUCAUUUAUUUGAACAGUAAUUAUCAAAUAAUUCGAUUCUAAGAAUUGUUUAAUGACAGAGUGAUAAGAGAAAAGAUCCACUUUAUGAAACACUUGAUCAAGUUGAUCAACAAUCAACACUUAUUUUAAAUCAUUGCAUUUUGAUUACAAUAUUAAGUGAUUCCGUCCUUUGGCUAUAAAUUCUAGCCAGUUCUUUAAUCGGUGUUAAAUCAAAUUUGUUCUGUGCAGUGACAAGAAAUGAUGCAAGUUGCCAUCUUAAGCGCGAUUCUUGUUGCUUUGAUACGGUGUGUCAGUACUGACGCAAAAGGCAAUGAUGUGCCCUCACAGGAUUCGCGAGUCCCAGAGAGGGAAGAUGUCAGUUAUUCUGAAAUAUAUUUACAUAUAACACUGAGGUUUCAAAUAAAUAUCUUCUGUCAACAGUUGCUCCAGUCGAAGAUGACCGUUUUAUAAAUCAGCCUGACGAGUAUGAACUGGUUUGCUGCCUAUGGUUUUUGUAACCAGGAAAACACCACACUUCUAUCACUGGAAUUAAGAAAAAGCGAGAAUUAAAAGAAAGAGUUUAAUGCUCUUGUUAAUUUAUACCAUCUCCAAGAUCGUUCGUACUGGAUAUGCGGUCAUCGUCUAGAAGACGAUGUAACCUUCCGUUGGGGUUUAGGUGGUCUGCCAAUUUCUUAUACCGAUUGGUCUCCCGGCCAGCCAGAUAACGCGGGUGGACAACAACGCUGCAUGAAAUUAGAUACAUUCAGGGAGUGGGACGA
Long non-coding RNA from Bactrocera dorsalis (oriental fruit fly), 3912 nucleotides. RefSeq lists it as uncharacterized. Lineage: Eukaryota; Metazoa; Arthropoda; Insecta; Diptera; Tephritidae. The record is from RefSeq and is a predicted model, not a curated record. The transcript has 4 exons.